UGAGUACGAGAUGCUACGGCAUCGAAGCAGUCUAUGUCAUACUUCCAAGAAAAGCUUGCAAUGUCAUAAACAAAUAAUGCCUGUACCAUAACCGACACAGGUGGGUAGGUAGAGUAUACUAAGGGGCGCGAGAUAACUCUCUCUAAGGAACUCGGCAAAAUGACUCCGUAACUUCGGGAGAAGGAGUGCCUUAUUUUUAUAAGGUUGCAAUAACAAGAUCCAAGCAACUGUUUACCAAAAACACAGGUCUCCGCUAAGUCGUAAGACGAUGUAUGGGGGCUGACGCCUGCCCAGUGCCAGAAGGUUAAAGAAGUUGGUUAGCAUUAGCGAAGCUGAUAACUGAAGCCCUGGUGAACGGCGGCCGUAACAAUAACGGUCCUAAGGUAGCGAAAUUCCUUGUCGGGUAAGUUCCGACCCGCACGAAAGGCGUAAUGAUUUGGAUACUGUCUCGGAGAGGGGCUCGGUGAAAUAGACUUGUCUGUGAAGAUGCGGACUACCUGCACCUGGACAGAAAGACCCUAUGAAGCUUUACUGUAACUUGAGAUUGAAAUUGGACUUUAUCUGCGCAGUAUAGGUGGGAGACGUUGAAAAUAUUCUUGCGGGAAUAUUGGAGUCAUCAGUGAGAUACCACUCUUAUAAUGUUAGAUUUCUAACUUUGUAUCAUUAUCUGGUCAAAGAACAGUUUCAGGCGGGCAGUUUGACUGGGGCGGUCGCCUCCCAAACGGUAACGGAGGCGCACAAAGGUUUCCUCUGAACGUGUAGAAAUCGUAUCUAGAGUGUAAAGGCAUAAGGAAGCUUGACUGUGAGACCUACAAGUCGAGCAGGGACGAAAGUCGGUCUUAGUGAUCUGACGGUGCUGAGUGGAAAGGCCGUCACUCAACGGAUAAAAGUUACUCUAGGAUAACAGGCUGAUCUCCCCCAAGAGUUCACAUCGACGGGGAGGUUUGGCACCUCGAUGUCGGCUCAUCGCAUCCUGGGGCGGUAGUACGUCCCAAGGGUUGGGCUGUUCGCCCAUGAAAGCGGUACGCGAGCUGGGUUCAGAACGUCGUGAGACAGUUCGGUCCAUAUCCGGUGUAGGCGUUAGAAUAUUGAGAGGAGCCUUCUUUAGUACGAGAGGACCGAGAAGGACAUACCUCUGGUGUACCAGUUAUCGUGCCAACGGUAAACGCUGGGUAGCCAUGUAUGGAGAGGAUAACCGCUGAAAGCAUCUAAGUGGGAAGCCCACCUCAAGAUAAGUAC
This 1239-nucleotide ribosomal RNA is filed under the name metagenome. Its description in RNAcentral is "bacterial LSU rRNA". It matches the Rfam family "Bacterial large subunit ribosomal RNA", at positions 1564 to 2811 of the family's 2925-position model. The record is from RNAcentral.